AAUUAAGACAUCGAUGACUGCUUUACAUUUGCAAGGUUAUUUACUAAAAAGAUACGCGCCAGAUUUACGCCAGCAGAUAAUGCCAUAUCUGUUUUCCAUAUCAAUAAAUAUGUACAAAUUUAUUACCGUAUAGCAUGUCACACAAGACGUUUUUAUGCCUACGUGUUCAGCUGAAACAUAUGUUACGUCCAAUUUAGUUAAUAUAAGAAGUAGUACGUUUAAGCUGCCAUAAUAUGACCAACUGCUGAGUUAAACAGGAAAAUACUCGAUGAAAUAUUCUGCAUAUAUCUUGCUUCACAUAUUUGAUACUACUACAAGUUACACAAUUGUUUCUUUCUUGUAAAUCGCGACUGUAUGACAUAUUUCGCAUACUUGCACGUUCAUAGGUGCUCGUUUACAACGACAACGAAAUCGAAAAUGUCAGGUAAAGGAGUUGGAGUGAAACGACUCUCAUUAUUCAGUACUGCGGUUGUAACUCUAUUACUCAUGCAUAUAUAAAUAAAUAUUAUGACAACACAAGUGUUUUUGUAUAUUAUAUUGAAGUAAUUGUACACCGGCUAGUACCUCAAAUGUAGACUACUUAUAUUAAAUAAAAUCAUUUUAAACAUA
Octopus bimaculoides (California two-spot octopus) is the source of this 609-nucleotide long non-coding RNA. NCBI's taxonomy places the organism in Eukaryota, Metazoa, Mollusca, Cephalopoda, Octopoda, Octopodidae. The record is from RefSeq and is a predicted model, not a curated record.